UGGGUAACCUGCCUCAAAGAGGGGAAUAGCCUCCCGAAAGGGAGAUUAAUACCGCAUAAUAUGUUUAAGUCGCAUGACUUUAACAUCAAAGGAUUUUCUUUUAGAAAUUCCACUUUGAGAUGGACCCGCGGCGCAUUAGCUAGUUGGUGAGGUAACGGCUCACCAAGGCAACGAUGCGUAGCCGACCUGAGAGGUAAUCGGCCACAUUGGAACUGAGACACGGUCCAGACUCCUACGGGAGCAG
Molecule: ribosomal RNA, 244 nt
Filed under: uncultured bacterium
Lineage: Bacteria
Description: partial 16S ribosomal RNA
Rfam family: Bacterial small subunit ribosomal RNA
Source: RNAcentral